This 253-nucleotide ribosomal RNA is filed under the name uncultured bacterium. Its description in RNAcentral is "partial 16S ribosomal RNA". It matches the Rfam family "Bacterial small subunit ribosomal RNA", at positions 524 to 776 of the family's 1533-position model. The record is from RNAcentral.
UACAGAGGGUGCAAGCGUUAAUCGGAAUUACCGGGCGUAAAGCGAGCGUAGUCGGUUAUUUAAGUCGGGUGUGAAAGCCCCGGGCUCAACCUGGGAAUUGCAUUCGAUACUGGAUAGCUAGAGUUCGGCAGAGGGAAGCGGAAUUUCCGGUGUAGCGGUGAAAUGCGUAGAUAUCGGAAGGAACAUCAGUGGCGAAAGCGGCUUCCUGGACCAGAACUGACGAUCAGGCUCGAAAGCGUGGGGAGCAAACAGG